GGAUUAGAUACCCUGGUAGUCCACGCUGUAAACGAUGAGUGCUAAAAGCUAGAAUAUUAUUUUUUAGUUUUGUAGCUAACGCGUUAAGCACUCCGCCUGGGGAGUACAAUCGCAAGGUUGAAACUUAAAGGAAUUGACGGGGGCCCGCACAAGCGGUGGAGCAUGCGGUUUAAUUCGAUAAUACGCGAAAAACCUUACCAACUCUUGACAUGUAAGUUUUAAACUGUAGAGAUAUAGUUUUUCAGUUCGGCUGGGCUUACACAGGUGUUGCAUGGCUGUCGUCAGCUCGUGCCG
This 294-nucleotide ribosomal RNA is filed under the name uncultured bacterium. RNAcentral's name for it is "partial 16S ribosomal RNA". It matches the Rfam family "Bacterial small subunit ribosomal RNA", at positions 775 to 1067 of the family's 1533-position model. The record is from RNAcentral.